UCGUUUCUGUCUUCCUCAUUUUUAGGCUGCUGUGCCCCUCUGCUCAUAUAAAAACCUCCUGAACGACCGCAGAUGGAACCACUCCUUACAGCUAACUGAAGAUCACAGACCUUCCACCUGAGCAGUUUCAGGACAAACAAAGCAGUGAAGAUGAAGUUGCUGCCCUGCUUCAUGCUGUAUGUCCUGCUGGCAGCUGGAACCAGUCUGGCUGUGGAUGUGAACUGGCUGACUAAAGUUGUGAAAGUCAUCAUAACUCGAUACCAUAUACCAGACAGGCAUUACAGUCUGGCUGUAACCAUCCCACAACAACAGGACCCAAACACACUUGAUAAAGUCCUUGAAGGCGACAAGCCUGAGAAUGUUAAAAAGAGUGUUGACAAGGAGAAAGUGUACGAAGGGACAAGGAUGAUUUUCUCUGUGCCCAUAAAACGUGAUCAUGCAGAACGUUUAGUUCUGCAAAAGUUGAGCAGUCUAAGAAAAUAUACAAAGAAUAACUUCCUCCUCAUCUACUCUUAUCUCUCCCCAUGUCGCACUUGCACAGACAGAAAGAGUGAAUUUAACAUCCUAGAACUGAUUGAAAGGGACGUUCGCUAUUGGCCAGAUGGAGCCUUUGUGUUUACAAGAGUUUUUGAUCAACCAAAGUCUGAAAAUGAGCCCAGAGACAGAGAGGAGAUCAUACACUCACUCUAUGAGGUCGGGUGUUCGAUGGGUGGUCUCAAAUACAUCUUUCGCUGUGACAGCUCUCAGUGUCACAGCUGCGAUGAACGUUUCAGAGCUUCAGAGAUCUGUAUUACUAACAGCCCUCAGCCUCCACAGGCAGGAAGCAGUGGGACAAACACCCAGGGAAACAAAGUCUGAGGUCCACACUGACUCUCUUCACUGACAGUCUGGUGUCACCUGGUCUCAGGUGAGUCCUGCGAACCUCAGCACUGACAUCUGUCAGUCACCAUUAAGGAAGCUUUGUGCAGGAUCACAGAUGACAUCACAGAUGACAUCACACUGUGUCGAUGAAGCGUGUGUUUUCAGACAGCUGCACCUCACUCACACCCCCAGACCCUCCACCUGUUCCCUCCACCUCAUUUACUGUCUGAAGAUGUCCAGAAGUCUCUGUGAAAGCAGACUGUAACUCAAUGAUGGCGUUCAUGAAUCAUGUGACUGCCUGACUGUGAGGUGUUUGUGACCCCUCUGUGUUCUUUCAAUAAAGCUCAGC
Long non-coding RNA from Pelmatolapia mariae (spotted tilapia), 1210 nucleotides. RefSeq lists it as uncharacterized. The transcript has 4 exons. NCBI's taxonomy places the organism in Eukaryota, Metazoa, Chordata, Actinopteri, Cichliformes, Cichlidae. The record is from RefSeq and is a predicted model, not a curated record.